GGUGAAGUGGCAGAGUGGCCUAAUGCACUCCCCUGCUAAGGGAGAGUACCUAUAAACGGUACCGAGAGUUCAAAUCUCUCCUUCACCG
Molecule: transfer RNA, 88 nt
Organism: Fusobacterium varium ATCC 27725
Lineage: Bacteria; Fusobacteriati; Fusobacteriota; Fusobacteriia; Fusobacteriales; Fusobacteriaceae
Rfam family: tRNA
About the family: Transfer RNA (tRNA) molecules are approximately 80 nucleotides in length. Their secondary structure includes four short double-helical elements and three loops (D, anti-codon, and T loops).
Source: Rfam